AGCAGCCGCGGUAAUUCCAGCUCCAAUAGCGUAUAUUAAAGUUGUUGCAGUUAAAAAGCUCGUAGUUGAAUUUCGGGGUUAGUACGCUGGUCGUGCCUUCGGUAUGUACUGGUGUUACUGAUUCCUACCUUCUGAAGAACCGUCAUGUCAUUAAUUUGGUGUGGCGGGGAAUCAGGACUGUUACUUUGAAAAAAUUAGAGUGUUUAAAGCAGGCUCGCGCUUGAAUACAUUAGCAUGGAAUAAUGAAAUAGGACGUUUGAUCCUAUUUUGUUGGUUUCUAGGAUUGACGUAAUGAUUAAUAGGGAUAGUUGGGGGCAUUAGUAUUCAAUUGUCAGAGGUGAAAUUCUUGGAUUUAUUGAAGACUAACUACUGCGAAAGCAUUUGCCAAGGAUGUUUUCAUUAAUCAAGAACGAAAGUUAGGGGAUCGAAGACGAUCAGAUACCGUCGUAGUCUUAACCAUAAACUAUGCCGACUAGGGAUCGGAUGAUGUUAAUUUUUUAAUGACUCAUUCGGCGCCUUA
Molecule: ribosomal RNA, 520 nt
Filed under: uncultured Glomus
Lineage: Eukaryota; Fungi; Glomeromycota; Glomeromycetes; Glomerales; Glomeraceae
Description: SSU rRNA
Rfam family: Eukaryotic small subunit ribosomal RNA
Source: RNAcentral